UAACAUUAUAUAAACAGCGAAAAUAAUAAAACAAAAGAAUGAAAUGUAACAAUUUGAAAGAAAAUCGAUACAAAUCCAUAAACAAAAGCUACUCAGAAAUGGUAUCACAAUUUCAUAGACUGUCUAGGAAUAAUACAAAUAGGGUCCGAACAAAAUAGAUACAUGUUUGUCUUUGAAAUAAUAAAGAACAAAAGAAAAACUAGACAAGACGGGGACGCCAAGGCCUGCGGACGCCUACAGGACUGCCUCGGGUGGCCUGAUGGACUGAAGGCAGCAACCUCACUGCAGUCCAAAAGCUGUAGCUCCGGGAUCUGCACACAGUGCAGAGUGUAGUAUCAACACAACCGACCCCAUAUGCUGGUAAGUGCCUAGCCUAACCUCGGCAAAGUAGUAAUAAGGCUAGGACAAGACUACCAAAUAAACCUAUGCAGUUAAAUCAUAUACAACAAAAAAAUAAAGGUAGAAAUUUACAGUUAAAGAUAGGAGGGGAAUAACAUGCUGCGGGGAAUAUCAGGUAACAACAGAAAACCAAUAGAAGGAUGUAAAGAAAGCCAUGAUUCAAUUAUCAGCAAGAAUCAAGAACUCAAUAACACGUGCACGACAUCACCUUUCGUGCUUUUACCUCAGAUAAUCAUGGCACAGAAUUAUCCUUCGUGCAUUAUUGCUCAUAUUAUGGCACAACAUUGUACAUCGUGCAGCAUGGCAUCACCCUUCGUGCUUUUACCUCACAAUAUCGACACGAUAUCACCCUCCGUGCAUUAACAUUCUCAAACUCAUGCACGAUAUCACCCUUCAUGCUUUACACUUUUCCUCACCCAAGCAAUAAUCACAAAGCAAUUUGGGCAACGGAAUCAAUAAUAUAACAAUUAAUUUCCGGCAAGGGAACAAUAGCAUAACAACAAUAUCCCGACAAGGGAAACAAUAUCAUGAGUAAUAAUAUCCCGGCAAGGGAGAUAAUAUCAAAAACAAUAACACCCCAGCAAGGGAGACAAUACCAUAAAUCUCUUCUCUUUUCCACAAUUACUUCACAACUCAAUUAUCAACUUGAGCCAACGCUCCACAAUGUUUAAUUUCCAAUAAUACUUCCACAAGCCUUGUUCACCAAUAGAAAUCAUCAUAUAAAGCAUGAACAAUACGAAAUGAAGUCACAUUGAUCAUAGUAUAAGUCUCACGGGCAUGCUUGACACCGACAUAUAAAUACUCAUCACCAUGACUAUACGUCAUACUCAACAAUUAACACAUAACAAAUAAGACACAACUCUUAAUCCUUCAAGCUAAGGUUAGACCAAACACUUGCCUCAAUGCCACAAACACAAUUCAAGCCUCAACUACCUCUUUACCUCUUGUCUCCACCAUCAAUUCGCUUGUAUCUAGCCAUAAUUUACUUAAUAAAUGCCAAAUGAAUCAAUUCUAAUGCAUGGAAAUAGGUUUUCUAAAGAUUUCUCCAAAAAAUAAAAAAUCGACCUCCGGCCCACAUGGUCAAAACCCGAGGUUCGAACCAAAACCCGAUUACCCAUUCACCCACAAACUCAAAUAUAUAAUUUAUUUUUAAAUCGGACCUCGAAUCGAGGUCUAAAUCCCCAAAAUUUGAAAAUCCUAAGUUCUACCCAAAACACCCAAUUCCUCCAUGAAAACCCUUAAUUUUGAGUUGAAAUCAUGUGAAAAGAUGUUAUAGAUUAAAUAAAAUAAGUUAGAAAUGACUUACAAUCGAUUUGGAGAAGAACGUUUCUUUGGAAAAUCUCCCAAGAGAGCUUAGGGUUUGAAGGAAUUGGAAAAUGAAGAAUUUUCGACUAAGUUACAAUUUGCACAGGCGCAUAUAUUGCAUUUGUGAUGUCCUGUUUGCAAAUGCAAACUCGUAAUUGUGGCCAAAGCUUUGCAAUUACGAAAAAAGGAAUGCCUCUACUUUCUUCGCAAAUACGAAUAAAUGUUCGCAAUUUCGGUGCCUGCUAAUGCCUCAUUUGCGACAUAAGCCUCGCAAAUGCGAAGGUUCCCUGCCCAAACCCAUCAUCGCAAUUGCGAUAUUUCUUCGCAAAUGUGAUCUCGCAUUUGCGAGCAAGGCUUCGCAAUUGGACCUGCACCAUAACAACAAUUUUCCUAAGUCCAAUUUCACUCCGAGAUCUAUCUAAAACUCACCUGAGCCCUCGGGGGUCCAAACCAAACAUGCACGCAAGUCCAAAAAUAUCAUACGAACUUGCUCGUGCGAUCAAAUCAUCAAAAUAACAUCAACAACUAUGAAUUAAGCCUCAUAUUCAUCAAAUCACUCAAGAACAUUAAAAUUUCCAAUUUCUUACCAAACUUCACAGAUUCAACUUAAUUAUCAUAUAAAACAUGUAUCGGGCUCUGUCACACCUCCUUUUUCCGCCCCCGCGAGGGUACGUAGGGAGUUUUUUCCAAUUAAAGGACAAUCAAAACGGGAUUUGUUUAUUUAUUUCAGAGUCGCCACUUGGGAGAUUUAGGGUGUCCCAAGUCACCAAUUUUAAUCCCGAAUCGAGGAAAAGAAUGACUCCAUAUUAUAGUCUGCGUACCAGAAAUCCGGAUAAGGAAUUCUGUUAACCCGGGAGAAGGUGUUAGGCAUUCCCGAGUUCCGUGGUUCUAGCACGGUCGCUCAACUGUCAUAUUCGGCUUGAUUAUCUGAUUUUAUACAUAUAGAACUUAUGUGCGAAUUUUAACUUUUAACCGCUUUUGUCAUUAUUAUUAUUUUUAUCAAGAAUUGCAACAUCGUGAAAACAUAUCUUGAACCACGUUACAUCAAUGCACCCGUGGUUGUUGACAUAUCUCGACUCGGUUGAGAUUUGGAUUUGGGUCACAUAAAUGUGCACCCGAGUUUAAGGAAAAUAAAUUAUUAAAGGUGCGUCUACAGCAACUAGCGUAUUGUCAUUCUGGGUAGGGCCGUGGAGUUUUGCUAAACGGUCCAUCCCGAAGUCUAAGCAAUUUUUUAAAGAAAAUAUGUACUGAGGGCCCCGCAAUUUUGUAUUUUUCUUCGGCGAGGCUCAUCCCGCUCUUAUUUUUAAAGAAUUGCAACGUCGUGGACAUGCAUCUCGGACCACGUCACAAUCAAUGUGCCUGUAGUUUUUAACAUAUUUUAACGUCGUUGAGAUUUGAUUUGGAUCACAUAAAUGCGCACCCGAAUUUAAGAAAGUAAUUUUAUUAAAUAUGCGUCUAAAGUAACUGCGCGUUUGCACUUUGCGAGGGCCAUGAAAUUUGCUAAAUGGCGCGCCUCGGUUUAUUUCAAAAGAUCACAUUUAACUUAAAGCACGAAUGUUCAUAAUCAAAACAAACUUAACCAUAUAAAUAUCCAUAGGCUAACUAUAAGGAAAACAAAAAAACUAAAAAAUAUAAACUAUGAAGACAACAUUAACGUAAAGGAAUCCACAAAGAUAUCAUAACUUUAUUCACUUUUAAAAAAAGACAACAAGCAAAAUAAUCACAUGGGCCACAGGGUUAUCAUGGCUUUAUUCACUUUUAAAAAGAGAACAACAAGUAAAAUAAUCACAUGGGCAUAUAACUGGCGCAACAACCAUGACCGAACAUUAAAACUUUUCUUAUUUUCGUUUCUUCUGUGAUUAAAUAGAAUAGAGAUCCAUUUGAAAUAAACUUAAUAAAAGGAUAUGAAAAUCAGUCGAAAUCAAUUUUAACAUAUAACCAAACACAGUUACUACAUUAUGAUACCUAUUUCCAUAUUUGUUGGAUUGUUUUUCUCUUUCGCUGGAUUCACACUUUUAAUGGAUUAGUGUCUAAAUCAAAACAAAUAAUCAAGGAAAACAUUAAUCUUCACACAAGUUACCGAAGAAGCAAAAUACAUAGACAGAAACAUGUAAGCAGAACAAAUCCAAAAUAAAGAAAGUGGGUCUUACAUUGAAUCUUCACACACAAAAACGACAGUAAUCACUGGACCAAAAUGGAAACCUCGACAGAAAUAGGAAGCUCGAACCAAGACUGUCAACGACCCGAGAUGUUGGCUGUUGCUGGGUUUUUUUUUUCGACGCAGCAGAUUGAUUCGAGAAGAUGAAGCAGAAGGGGUCGUUUUGAUGUGAGAGAGUGGGAGUUUUUGUUUUCUUUUCAAUUUUUUUUAGGAAGAAGAAGAUGAAGUCCAAAACCUUUUUUCUCUCCUCCCCGUUUUUUUUUCGUUUUUUCCUUAUGAAGAAGAAGGUAACCCCCUUCUUCUAAUUUUUUCUUUUUUUUCAAUCUCUUUUCCCUUCUUUUCUUUUUCCAGACCCCCUUUUUCCUUUAUAAAUCCACCCGUCCCUUUCCAAUUUUCCUUUUCGUUUUUCAAUCCAACCUUUUCCUUUUUUUCAAACUCCCCUCCUCCAUUCCUCUUCCCCA
This 4323-nucleotide long non-coding RNA is filed under the name Nicotiana tabacum (common tobacco). RNAcentral describes it as "long non-coding RNA (NTAB_LNC009829)". Lineage: Eukaryota; Viridiplantae; Streptophyta; Magnoliopsida; Solanales; Solanaceae. The record is from RNAcentral.